This 234-nucleotide unclassified non-coding RNA is filed under the name Glomus sp. RNAcentral's name for it is "partial contains 5.8S ribosomal RNA and internal transcribed spacer 2". The stretch from base 1 to 72 matches the Rfam family "5.8S ribosomal RNA", at positions 84 to 154 of the family's 154-position model. The record is from RNAcentral. Lineage: Eukaryota; Fungi; Glomeromycota; Glomeromycetes; Glomerales; Glomeraceae.
GUGAAUCAUCAAAUUUUUGAACGCAAAUUGCACUCUCCGGUUUUCCGGGAGAGUAUGCCUGUUUGAGGGUCAGCCUAAAAAAAAUCGAAAUUGGUGCUGUUUUUUGGUUACUUUUGUUGGGGAUGGGUUAUUUUAAAUCUUGGUUUAAGCGACUUAAAAAUUUUUUUUACGAUUCUUAGAAUGUUUCUAAGAUUUUUCUUGUACGUUUAAGGUAUUGGAUGGUUUAUUAGACGU